CUGGAACAUGGACAGGGACGACGGGCUCUGGCCGGGCCCGAUGAAGUCGAACGAUCCCGUGCCGCGCAGGUGCAGCUCCCGCUGGUCCGGU
Molecule: transfer RNA, 91 nt
Filed under: Cellulomonas cellasea
Lineage: Bacteria; Bacillati; Actinomycetota; Actinomycetes; Micrococcales; Cellulomonadaceae
Description: tRNA-Ala
Source: RNAcentral